UACGGGGGGAGCAAGCGUUGUUCCGAUUUACUGGGCGUAAAGGGCGCGUAGGCGGCCACCGCAAGUCAAUUGUGAAAUCUCCGGGCUUAACUCGGAAAGGUCAACUGAUACUGCGGGGCUAGAGUGCAGAAGGGGCAACUGGAAUUCUCGGUGUAGCGGUGAAAUGCGUAGAUAUCGAGAGGAACACCUGCGGCGAAGGCGGGUUGCUGGGCUGACACUGACGCUGAGGCGCGAAAGCUAGGGGAGCGAACGGG
Molecule: ribosomal RNA, 254 nt
Filed under: uncultured bacterium
Lineage: Bacteria
Description: partial 16S ribosomal RNA
Rfam family: Bacterial small subunit ribosomal RNA
Source: RNAcentral